GAUGAACGCUGGCGGCGUGCUUAACACAUGCAAGUCGAACGGUGAAGGCGGAGCUUGCUCUGCUGGAUCAGUGGCGAACGGGUGAGUAACACGUGAGCAAUCUGCCCCUGACUCUGGGAUAAGCGCUGGAAACGGCGUCUAAUACUGGAUACGAGCUGCGAAGGCAUCUUCAGCAGCUGGAAAGAAUUUCGGUCAGGGAUGAGCUCGCGGCCUAUCAGCUUGUUGGUGAGGUAAUGGCUCACCAAGGCGUCGACGGGUAGCCGGCCUGAGAGGGUGACCGGCCACACUGGGACUGAGACACGGCCCAGACUCCUACGGGAGGCAGCAGUGGGGAAUAUUGCACAAUGGGCGAAAGCCUGAUGCAGCAACGCCGCGUGAGGGACGACGGCCUUCGGGUUGUAAACCUCUUUUAGCAGGGAAGAAGCGAAAGUGACGGUACCUACAGAAAAAGCGCCGGCUAACUACGUG
RNAcentral lists this ribosomal RNA (468 nucleotides) under uncultured bacterium. RNAcentral describes it as "partial 16S ribosomal RNA". It matches the Rfam family "Bacterial small subunit ribosomal RNA", at positions 28 to 507 of the family's 1533-position model. The record is from RNAcentral.